RNAcentral lists this ribosomal RNA (1629 nucleotides) under metagenome. RNAcentral's name for it is "bacterial LSU rRNA". It matches the Rfam family "Bacterial large subunit ribosomal RNA", at positions 1225 to 2925 of the family's 2925-position model. The record is from RNAcentral.
UUGGUAGGGGAGCGUCGUGUAUAGGGAGAAGCAUGAGCGAGAGCACAUGUGGACAGUACACGAGUGAGAAUGCCGGAAUGAGUAGCGAGAAUUAUGUGGGAAUCAUAAUGGCCGAAAAUCUAAGGUUUCUUGGGGAAGGUUCGUCCGCCCAAGGUAAGCCGGGAGCUAAGGCGAGGCCGAAAGGCGUAGUCGAUGCACAUACGGUUGAAAUUCCGUAGCCGCCGAAAUUGUUAAGCACAGGGACACAUAGAGAUAUCCGAACCCGGGCGUUGGUUGACCCGGGCGCAAGGGACCGAACAUCAGUAGGGAAGUCGGAGAUGCUCUGUGGCGAGAAAAGCUGUGUGUAUUGAUUAGGCGCCCGUACCGCAAACCGACACAGGUAGAUGAGGAGAGAAUCCUAAGGCCAACGGGAGAAGGGUUGUUAAGGAACUCGGCAAAUUGACCCCGUAACUUCGGGAUAAGGGGAGCCUCCUACGGGAGGCCGCAGUGAAUAGGCCCAAGCAACUGUUUACCAAAAACACAGGUCUCUGCUAAAUCGAAAGAUGACGUAUAGGGGCUGACGCCUGCCCGGUGCCGGAAGGUUAAGAGGAGAGCUUAGCGCAAGCGAAGGUUCGAAUUGAAGCCCCGGUAAACGGCGGCCGUAACGAUAACGGUCCUAAGGUAGCGAAAUUCCUUGUCAGGUAAGUUCUGACGCGCACGAAUGGCGUAAUGAUUUGGGCACUGUCUCAACAGCCCGCCCGGCGAAAUUGUAGUACUGGUGAAGAUGCCAGUUACCCGCAACUAGACGGAAAGACCCCAUGGAGCUUUACUGUAGCCUAAUACUGAAGAUCGGUAAUGCAUGUACAGGAUAGGUGGGAGCCAGCGAAACCCGGGCGUCAGCUCGGAUGGAGGCAACCUUGGAAUACCACCCUUGUAUUGCUGGUUUUCUAACCUGCGGCCAUGAAUCUGGUCGGGGGACACUGUUAGGUGGGCAGUUUGACUGGGGCGGUCGCCUCCAAAAGCGUAACGGAGGCGCUCAAAGGUUGGCUCAGCACGGACGGAAAUCGUGCAUAGAGUGCAAACGCAUAAGCCAACUUGACUGCGAGACCGACGGGUCGAGCAGGUACGAAAGUAGGAGUUAGUGAUCCGGUGGUAUGUGAGUGGAAAUGCCAUCGCUCAACGGAUAAAAGCUACCCUGGGGAUAACAGGCUGAUCUCCCCCAAGCGUCCACAGCGACGGGGAGGUUUGGCACCUCGAUGUCGGCUCGUCACAUCCUGGGGCUGUAUUCGGUCCCAAGGGUUCGGCUGUUCGCCGAUUAAAGUGGCACGCGAGCUGGGUUCAGAACGUCGUGAGACAGUUCGGUCCCUAUCUGUUGCGGGCGCAGGAGAUUUGAAGGGAGCUGUCCUUAGUACGAGAGGACCGGGAUGGACAGACCUCUGGUGCACCAGUUGUCGUGCCAACGGCACAGCUGGGUAGCUACGUCUGGACGAGAUAAACGCUGAAAGCAUCUAAGUGUGAAACUCCCCCUAAGAUAAGAUCUCCCAUCCAUUAGGAGUAAGGGACGACAGAGACUAUGUCGUUGAUAGGUCGGAAGUGUAAGUGCAGUAAUGCAUUGAGCUGACCGAUACUAAUAACCCGAGGGCUUGACCA